UAAUACAUGCAAGUCGAGCGCGGGAAGCCGGCGGACUCCUUCGGGAGGAAACCGGUGGAACGAGCGGCGGACGGGUGAGUAACACGUGGGCAACCUGCCGGACUGAUGGGAAUAACCCCGGGAAACCGGGGCUAAUGCCCAAUACGCCCUGACCUCGCCUGAGGUCAGCGGUAAAGCAGGGAUCUUCGGAUCCUUGCACAGUCCGAUGGGCCCGCGGCGCAUUAGCUAGUUGGAGAGGUAAGGGCUCCCCAAGGCGACGAUGCGUAGCCGACCUGAGAGGGUGAUCGGCCACACUGGGACUGAGACACGGCCCAGACUCCUACGGGAGGCAGCAGUAGGGAAUCAUCCGCAAUGGGCGAAAGCCUGACGGUGCAACGCCGCGUGAGUGAUGAAGGUUUUCGGAUCGUAAAGCUCUGUUGACAGGGAAGAACCCACGUCAGUCGAACAGGCUGGCGUGCUGACGGUACCUGUCCAGAAAGCCCCGGCUAACUACGUGCCAGCAGCCGCGGUAAUACGUAGGGGGCAAGCGUUGUCCGGAAUUAUUGGGCGUAAAGGGCACGCAGGCGGUUUCGUCAGUCCGAUGUGACAGGCCACGGCUCAACCGUGGAAGGCCAUUGGAAACUGCGAAACUUGAGGACAGAAGAGGAGAGUGGAAUUCCACGUGUAGCGGUGAAAUGCGUAGAUAUGUGGAGGAACACCAGUGGCGAAGGCGACUCUCUGGUCUGUACCUGACGCUGAGGUGCGAAAGCAUGGGGAGCAAACAGGAUUAGAUACCCUGGUAGUCCAUGCCGUAAACGCUG
Molecule: ribosomal RNA, 800 nt
Filed under: Marinococcus sp. JSM 101003
Lineage: Bacteria; Bacillati; Bacillota; Bacilli; Caryophanales; Bacillaceae
Description: bacterial SSU rRNA
Rfam family: Bacterial small subunit ribosomal RNA
Source: RNAcentral